Long non-coding RNA from Xyrauchen texanus (razorback sucker), 715 nucleotides. RefSeq lists it as uncharacterized. NCBI's taxonomy places the organism in Eukaryota, Metazoa, Chordata, Actinopteri, Cypriniformes, Catostomidae. The record is from RefSeq and is a predicted model, not a curated record. The transcript is spliced from 4 exons.
AUGCGUUCUUAUUCAAGUUUUCAACUCAGUCAUUCGUUUAAGAUGCAAUCUUGUGUUAUAAGUAUUAGGCUAUCAUGAUUAUACAGUGAGCAAGCUAUAUAAAUAAGUAUUUAAUAUAAUAAAAGUGUAGAGCAACAACCGAGGUUGUAAGGUAAAGGCUGAAUAUUGUAGAUUUAUUACAAUAUGUUGCAUGUUUGAAUUAAAAUACCUGUGGAUAUGCAACUUCCCACUAAUGAAAGUUUUAUUCAAAAGGAGCACACACUCUACAAAGGCCUGACUGGAGAUUUGCCUGAUCUAUCCGUCCUUCAGGUGACAGCGGCUCGCUUCAAGAGCAGGUGAAGCAAGUUGGGACAAUGUUGAAGACAUUUGCUCGCACUGGGCAAUCAGGUGCAGAUCAAACCCUAAUGCUGCGACGUCUUGGAAUUUGCCGAUGUUGUGCGUAGCAUGGACGACAAAAUGCUAUGCUGCAACGUUUCAGUGCCAAUGUGUCUGUUGGAGAGUUAUCCCUGCCAGGGGAUCUGUUACUCCCCCCUAGACACCCAGGAAGAUUUGGCGUUGCUUGACAACAGUUUGAGGCAGGAUAAAGAGCUCCAGCAACGAUUUCUUCGGUUUUUGGCAAUCAAAUGUGGGAGGGACCUAAAGACAACCGUGUGGCGAAUGCUUCAGAGUAUCUUCUCUAAUCACCUUUCCAUCAAUACAACCUGGACUGGUGUAG